CCGCGUGAGGGAUGACGGCCUUCGGGUUGUAAACCUCUUUUAGCAGGGAAGAAGCGAAAGUGACGGUACCUGCAGAAAAAGCGCCGGCUAACUACGUGCCAGCAGCCGCGGUAAUACGUAGGGCGCAAGCGUUAUCCGGAAUUAUUGGGCGUAAAGAGCUCGUAGGCGGUUUGUCGCGUCUGCUGUGAAAUCCCGAGGCUCAACCUCGGGCCUGCAGUGGGUACGGGCAGACUAGAGUGCGGUAGGGGAGAUUGGAAUUCCUGGUGUAGCGGUGGAAUGCGCAGAUAUCAGGAGGAACACCGAUGGCGAAGGCAGAUCUCUGGGCCGUAACUGACGCUGAGGAGCGAAAGGGUGGGGAGCAAACAGGCUUAGAUACCCUGGUAGUCCACCCCGUAAACGUUGGGAACUAGUUGUGGGGACCAUUCCACGGUUUCCGUGACGCAGCUAACGCAUUAAGUUCCCCGCCUGGGGAGUACGGCCGCAAGGCUAAAACUCAAAGGAAUUGACGGGGACCCGCACAAGCGGCGGAGCAUGCGGAUUAAUUCGAUGCAACGCGAAGAACCUUACCAAGGCUUGACAUAUACGAGAACGGGCCAGAAAUGGUCAACUCUUUGGACACUCGUAAACAGGUGGUGCAUGGUUGUCGUCAGCUCGUGUCGUGAGAUGUUGGGUUAAGUCCCGCAACGAGCGCAACCCUCGUUCUAUGUUGCCAGCACGU
Molecule: ribosomal RNA, 718 nt
Filed under: Microbacterium sp. LS-715
Lineage: Bacteria; Bacillati; Actinomycetota; Actinomycetes; Micrococcales; Microbacteriaceae
Description: bacterial SSU rRNA
Rfam family: Bacterial small subunit ribosomal RNA
Source: RNAcentral